Vespa mandarinia (Asian giant hornet) is the source of this 987-nucleotide long non-coding RNA. Lineage: Eukaryota; Metazoa; Arthropoda; Insecta; Hymenoptera; Vespidae. The record is from RefSeq and is a predicted model, not a curated record.
GAGAAAGGGAGAGAGAGAGAGAGAGAGAGAAAGAGAGAGAGAGAACGUAAUAUUGAAGUCUCGUGACUACUUACAAAAAAGGUUAUUUACUUUCUUUUAUUUUUUAUUUUUUUUUUUUUUUUAUUUUUUUUUGUUCAUAAAAAAGGAAAAAUUAAUUUUCUUGUAAGAAUGAGAACCACGUUCUUUAUCGUUGAUAAUAAUGAGAACCCAUGUUUCUUUGAUUAAAGUAGUACUAUCUCUUUCUCUUUCUAAUGGUAGAAAUCAGUGACGUCAUAAUUAAGAAGCAAGUUUUCCAAAUUUUUAAAUAAAUACAUGCAUAAUGUAAUAUAUAUACGCGCGUGCUCCCAACAAACACUCACACACACACACACCCGCGCGCGCAUACAAACAUACAACACGUACACACAUACAUACAUACAUACUUAUGUAUAUAUAUAUAUAUAUAUAAAAAUAAAGGUGCAUAUAUCCUUUUUGUCGGGGGAGAGGGACUAGCAAGAAGUCUAUUUGAUAUUUAUAUUUUAAUAUACACACAUGGACCGACCGAUUGUAUUUAGCGAACAUAUAAUAAUAAUAAUAAUAGUAAUUAUUAUUAUUAUUAUUAUUAUUAUUAUUAUUAUUAUUAUUAUUAUUAUUAUAUUGUAAUUAACGAUGUGCUCUAAUUAAUAAGUUGAUCGAUAUAUCGAUAUUAUCGUUUCGCAAUCUAUUUCUCCGGUACCAUCACAUCACAUCUAUUAAGAAUAUCGUUUUGCAGAUUAUAAGAUUUCGAUAAUAUAAAUUUAAAAAAAGUUAAAUUGAUCAUUAACGUAUCGAAAAAAUUGUUGAGAAAGUAUAAGAAUAAAAAAUAAAUAAAUAAACAAGUGGCCGGACGCGUUAGAUUGCGAAACGAUUUCGUAUGAUUCGAUGGAAAAUGAGGGAGACAAAUUGUUGUUUUGUCACGACCGUAUGUGACGUAUUGAUUAUCGAUCGACAGUGUAAUGAUAACAAAAA